UGGGGAAUAUUGGACAAUGGGGGCAACCCUGAUCCAGCCAUGCCGCGUGCGUGAAGAAGGCCUUAGGGUUGUAAAGCGCUUUUGUCAGGGAAGAUAAUGACUGUACCUGAAGAAUAAGCCCCGGCUAACUCCGUGCCAGCAGCCGCGGUAAGACGGAGGGGGCUAGCGUUGUUCGGAAUUACUGGGCGUAAAGGGCGCGUAGGCUGUCUUGUGUGUCAGGGGUGAAAUCCCAGGGCUUAACCCUGGAACUGCUUCUGAAACUGCAAGACUAGAGUGAGUGAGAGGCGGACGGAAUUCCGAGUGUAGCAGUGAAAUGCGUAGAUAUUCGGAGGAACAUCGGUGGCGAAGGCGGUUCGCUGGUGCUCAACUGACGCUGAGGCGCGAAAGCGUGGGGAGCAAA
RNAcentral lists this ribosomal RNA (400 nucleotides) under uncultured bacterium. RNAcentral's name for it is "bacterial SSU rRNA". It matches the Rfam family "Bacterial small subunit ribosomal RNA", at positions 355 to 772 of the family's 1533-position model. The record is from RNAcentral.